This 293-nucleotide ribosomal RNA is filed under the name uncultured bacterium. RNAcentral's name for it is "partial 16S ribosomal RNA". It matches the Rfam family "Bacterial small subunit ribosomal RNA", at positions 775 to 1067 of the family's 1533-position model. The record is from RNAcentral.
GGAUUAGAUACCCUGGUAGUCCCAGCUGUAAACGAUGGAUACUAGACGUAGGAACUGGAUUGACGGUUUCUGUGUCGCAGCUAACGCGUUAAGUAUCCCGCCUGGGGAGUACGGUCGCAGGACUAAAACUCAAAGGAAUUGACGGGACCCCGCACAAGCGGCGGAGCAUGUGGUUUAAUUCGAUGAUACGCGAGGAACCUUACCAGGACUUAAAUGUAAGUUGCAUGAUUCAGAAAUGAAUCUUUCUUCGGACUACUUACAAGGUGCUGCAUGGUUGUCGUCAGCUCGUGCCG